RNAcentral lists this transfer RNA (72 nucleotides) under Camelus ferus (Wild Bactrian camel). It matches the Rfam family "tRNA". From Rfam's summary of the family: Transfer RNA (tRNA) molecules are approximately 80 nucleotides in length. The record is from Rfam by way of RNAcentral. Lineage: Eukaryota; Metazoa; Chordata; Mammalia; Artiodactyla; Camelidae.
GAAGAUAUAGCUCAGUGGUAGAGUGCAUGCCUCACACGCAUGAGGUCAUGGGUUCAAUCUCCAGCACCUCCA